UGCAUUGGCCGGGAAUCGAACCCGGGGCGCCCGCCACUAUAAUAUAUAAAUGAGUUUUAAAAAUUGUAAAAAAAAAAAAAAUGCAUCGGCCGGGAAUCGAACCCGGAGAGCAUUCUACCACUGAACCAAAAGC
Molecule: non-coding RNA, 133 nt
Organism: Cordylochernes scorpioides
Lineage: Eukaryota; Metazoa; Arthropoda; Arachnida; Pseudoscorpiones; Chernetidae
Source: the annotation of a GenBank genome assembly